This 251-nucleotide ribosomal RNA is filed under the name uncultured prokaryote. RNAcentral describes it as "partial 16S rRNA". It matches the Rfam family "Bacterial small subunit ribosomal RNA", at positions 525 to 775 of the family's 1533-position model. The record is from RNAcentral.
ACGUAGGGUGCGAGCGUUAAUCGGAAUUACUGGGCGUAAAGGGUGCGCAGGCGGUUUUGUAAGCCAGGGGUGAAAAAUCUCGGCUUAACCGGGGUAGUGCCUUUGAUACUGUUGGACUAGAGUAUAAUUGAGGUGACUGGAAUGUGAUGUGUAGCGGUGAAAUGCUUAGAUAUGUCACAGAACGCCGAUCGUGAAGACAGGUCACGAAAUUAUUACUGACGCUCAUGCACGAAAGCGUGGGGAUCAAACAG